This 207-nucleotide ribosomal RNA is filed under the name uncultured bacterium. RNAcentral's name for it is "partial 16S ribosomal RNA". It matches the Rfam family "Bacterial small subunit ribosomal RNA", at positions 568 to 774 of the family's 1533-position model. The record is from RNAcentral.
CAUGUAGGCGGAUUAAUAAGUUUGAAGUGAAAUCCUAUAGCUUAACUAUAGAACUGCUUUGAAAACUGUUAAUCUAGGAUGUGGGAGAGGUAGAUGGAAUUUCUGGUGUAGGGGUAAAAUCCGUAGAGAUCAGAAGGAAUACCGAUUGCGAAGGCGAUCUACUGGAACAUUAUUGACGCUGAGAUGCGAAAGCGUGGGGAGCAAACA